GCGUAACGCGUGAGCGACAUGCCCGUUGCCCGGGGACAACCGGUGGAAACGCCGACUAAUCCCCGAUGGGAUAUUGUGCCGCAUGGCACGAUAUUGAAAGUUACGGCGGCGACGGAUUGGCUCGCGUCCGAUUAGCUUGUUGGCGGGGUAACGGCCCACCAAGGCUACGAUCGGUAGGGGUUCUGAGAGGAAGGCCCCCCACAAUGGGACUGAGACACGGCCCAUACUCCUACGGGAGGCAGCAGUGAGGAAUAUUGGUCAAUGGGCGGAAGCCUGAACCAGCCAUGCCGCGUGCGGGAAGGAGGCCCUAUGGGCUGUGAACCGCUUUUGCCUGGGGGCAAUAAGGGCGUCGCGCACGCCCGAUGAGAGUACCAGGCGAAUAAGCAUCGGCUAACUCCGUGCCAGCAGCCGCGGUAAUACGGGGGAUGCGAGCGUUAUCCGGAUUCAUUGGGUUUAAAGGGUGCGUAGGCUGUGCGUCAAGUCGGGGGUGAGAUUCCGGUGCUCAACACCGGGGCUGCCCUUGAUACUGUCGCGCUGGAGUGCGGAUGCCGCCGGAGGAAUGAGUGGUGUAGCGGUGAAAUGCUUAGAUAUCACUCAGAACACCGAUUGCGAAGGCAUCUGGCGAAUCCGUAACUGACGCUGAGGCACGAAAGCGUGGGG
This 660-nucleotide ribosomal RNA is filed under the name uncultured bacterium. RNAcentral's name for it is "bacterial SSU rRNA". It matches the Rfam family "Bacterial small subunit ribosomal RNA", at positions 108 to 766 of the family's 1533-position model. The record is from RNAcentral.